UGAGUUCAAUGCACCCUAUGAUGUCAAUUUCAGCCAUGAUGGAUUUUCCGCUAUAUUGAAUUUUAUCAAAAACACACAAUGGCUUCCUGGUCACAAAUUU
This is a long non-coding RNA of Alosa sapidissima (American shad), 100 nucleotides long. RefSeq lists it as uncharacterized. NCBI's taxonomy places the organism in Eukaryota, Metazoa, Chordata, Actinopteri, Clupeiformes, Clupeidae. The record is from RefSeq and is a predicted model, not a curated record. The transcript is spliced from 3 exons.